RNAcentral lists this long non-coding RNA (803 nucleotides) under Triticum aestivum (bread wheat). Its description in RNAcentral is "long non-coding RNA (TAES_LNC016066)". The record is from RNAcentral. Lineage: Eukaryota; Viridiplantae; Streptophyta; Magnoliopsida; Poales; Poaceae.
CCCUGUACUGAAUAAUUUUGGGAGCGACUGGAUGAUGAUGAUUACAAGCCAGGUAACCGAAAGAGUCCUUCUGCCCGUUGGCUAGCUAGCUGUUCUUGUCUUACCAUUAUAUGUCUUCCUUAAUAUUGAUUUGUGAAUUAUUUCUUUUUUCAGACUAUGCAGGAGGACUGCAUGUGAUGAGUUAAGGCACAAGAACUACGACCAUUUUAGCUCCAGCAGUAAGUACACAACUAAUCAACAAUGCAUUUUCACGACCCAGACUUCUGCAUUCUGGUUGACAGGCUCGCUGGCACAACCACAUAAUCUCAUGCAUUCAGAUUGCUAGCUACACGAAAUACGCCCAGAUCUACGAGUAGGAAUCCAAGGUAACACUUAUUGCUUACAAGUAUUUACUUCAUUUUUCUUCAUGUAAAAAGAGAAUGCAAGCUGAAAUAUAAAGUCUGCAGAUUCCUCAUGUAUGUUCAAUUUCCAGAAUAGGAAGAACCAUACCAACAACAUACAUACAUAUUACAGUUCUGCAUUUUAAAUUUGAAGACCAAGGCAAAGCCCGAUCGAUGUAAUUGGAGGUGAAUGUAUGUUUUCUUGCUUGUAUUUAAUCUUAGAAAACAGAAUCUCAUCAAGUGAAAAUCUGCAGGCAUUGCAGUCCAAUUGUUCGAUUGUAACCAGACGUGUGACUGAAUAUUGCUUCGAACAUGUGAUUCUGCAAAGUUGAGGAAGUUGAGGAAGUAUGGACUCAGAUCCUUUAAGGGUUUGUUUCCAUACUGUGGGACAGCAGGAUCUGAGUCCCACUAUGAGGGAUCAAC